CCUGAUCCAGCCAUGCCGCGUGUGUGAAGAAGGCCUUAUGGUUGUAAAGCACUUUAAGCGAGGAGGAGGCUACCUAGAAUAAUACUCUAGGAUAGUGGACGUUACUCGCAGAAUAAGCACCGGCUAACUCUGUGCCAGCAGCCGCGGUAAUACAGAGGGUGCGAGCGUUAAUCGGAUUUACUGGGCGUAAAGCGUACGUAGGCGGCUUAUUAAGUCGGAUGUGAAAUCCCUGAGCUUAACUUAGGAAUUGCAUUCGAUACUGGUGAGCUAGAGUAUGGGAGAGGAUGGUAGAAUUCCAGGUGUAGCGGUGAAAUGCGUAGAGAUCUGGAGGAAUACCGAUGGCGAAGGCAGCCAUCUGGCCUAAUACUGACGCUGAGGUACGAAAGCAUGGGGAGCAAACAGGAUUAGAUACCCUGGUAGUCCAUGCCGUAAACGAUGUCUACUAGCCGUUGGGGCCUUUGAGGCUUUAGUGGCGCAGCUAACGCGAUAAGUAGACCGCCUGGGGAGUACGGUCGCAAGACUAAAACUCAAAUGAAUUGACGGGGGCCCGCACAAGCGGUGGAGCAUGUGGUUUAAUUCGAUGCAACGCGAAGAACCUUACCUGGUCUUGACAUAGUAAGAACUUUCCAGAGAUGGAUUGGUGCCUUCGGGAGCUUACAUACAGGUGCUGCAUGGCUGUCGUCAGCUCGUGUCGUGAGAUGUUGGGUUAAGUCCCGCAACGAGCGCAACCCUUUUCCUUAUUUGCCAGCACUUCGGGUGGGAACUUUAAGGAUACUGCCAGUGACAAACUGGAGGAAGGCGGGGACGACGUCAAGUCAUCAUGGCCCUUACGACCAGGGCUACACACGUGCUACAAUGGUCGGUACAAAGGGUUGCUACCUAGCGAUAGGAUGCUAAUCUCAAAAAGCCGAUCGUAGUCCGGAUUGGAGUCUGCAACUCGACUCCAUGAAGUCGGAAUCGCUAGUAAUCGCGGAUCAGAAUGCCGCGGUGAAUACGUUCCCGGGCCUUGUACACACCGCCCGUCACACCAUGGGAGUUUGUUGCACCAGAAGUAGGUAGUCUAACCUUAGGGAGGACGCUUACCACGGUGUGGCCGACGACUGGGGUGAAGUCGUAACAAGGUAGCCGUAGGGGAACCUGCGGCUG
This 1146-nucleotide ribosomal RNA is filed under the name Acinetobacter piscicola. RNAcentral describes it as "bacterial SSU rRNA". It matches the Rfam family "Bacterial small subunit ribosomal RNA", at positions 382 to 1520 of the family's 1533-position model. Lineage: Bacteria; Pseudomonadati; Pseudomonadota; Gammaproteobacteria; Moraxellales; Moraxellaceae. The record is from RNAcentral.